This 18-nucleotide non-coding RNA is filed under the name Callorhinchus milii (elephant shark). Lineage: Eukaryota; Metazoa; Chordata; Chondrichthyes; Chimaeriformes; Callorhinchidae. The record is from RNAcentral. RNAcentral also lists the same sequence under 2 other names.
GCUGUGAUGGCCGAGUGG